RNAcentral lists this ribosomal RNA (1235 nucleotides) under Bacteroides fragilis str. 2-F-2 #5. RNAcentral's name for it is "bacterial SSU rRNA". It matches the Rfam family "Bacterial small subunit ribosomal RNA", at positions 8 to 1237 of the family's 1533-position model. Lineage: Bacteria; Pseudomonadati; Bacteroidota; Bacteroidia; Bacteroidales; Bacteroidaceae. The record is from RNAcentral.
AGAGUUUGAUCCUGGCUCAGGAUGAACGCUAGCUACAGGCUUAACACAUGCAAGUCGAGGGGCAUCAGGAAGAAAGCUUGCUUUCUUUGCUGGCGACCGGCGCACGGGUGAGUAACACGUAUCCAACCUGCCCUUUACUCGGGGAUAGCCUUUCGAAAGAAAGAUUAAUACCCGAUAGCAUAAUGAUUCCGCAUGGUUUCAUUAUUAAAGGAUUCCGGUAAAGGAUGGGGAUGCGUUCCAUUAGGUUGUUGGUGAGGUAACGGCCCACCAAGCCUUCGAUGGAUAGGGGUUCUGAGAGGAAGGUCCCCCACAUUGGAACUGAGACACGGUCCAAACUCCUACGGGAGGCAGCAGUGAGGAAUAUUGGUCAAUGGGCGCUAGCCUGAACCAGCCAAGUAGCGUGAAGGAUGAAGGCUCUAUGGGUCGUAAACUUCUUUUAUAUAAGAAUAAAGUGCAGUAUGUAUACUGUUUUGUAUGUAUUAUAUGAAUAAGGAUCGGCUAACUCCGUGCCAGCAGCCGCGGUAAUACGGAGGAUCCGAGCGUUAUCCGGAUUUAUUGGGUUUAAAGGGAGCGUAGGUGGACUGGUAAGUCAGUUGUGAAAGUUUGCGGCUCAACCGUAAAAUUGCAGUUGAUACUGUCAGUCUUGAGUACAGUAGAGGUGGGCGGAAUUCGUGGUGUAGCGGUGAAAUGCUUAGAUAUCACGAAGAACUCCGAUUGCGAAGGCAGCUCACUGGACUGCAACUGACACUGAUGCUCGAAAGUGUGGGUAUCAAACAGGAUUAGAUACCCUGGUAGUCCACACAGUAAACGAUGAAUACUCGCUGUUUGCGAUAUACAGUAAGCGGCCAAGCGAAAGCAUUAAGUAUUCCACCUGGGGAGUACGCCGGCAACGGUGAAACUCAAAGGAAUUGACGGGGGCCCGCACAAGCGGAGGAACAUGUGGUUUAAUUCGAUGAUACGCGAGGAACCUUACCCGGGCUUAAAUUGCAGUGGAAUGAUGUGGAAACAUGUCAGUGAGCAAUCACCGCUGUGAAGGUGCUGCAUGGUUGUCGUCAGCUCGUGCCGUGAGGUGUCGGCUUAAGUGCCAUAACGAGCGCAACCCUUAUCUUCAGUUACUAACAGGUUAUGCUGAGGACUCUGGAGAGACUGCCGUCGUAAGAUGUGAGGAAGGUGGGGAUGACGUCAAAUCAGCACGGCCCUUACGUCCGGGGCUACACACGUGUUACAAUGGGGGG